AUGCAGCAGCAGCACAUAUACGAAAAUUGGAACGAUAACAGAGAUUUGCAUGGCCCCUGUGCAAGGAUGACACGCAAAUUUGUGAAAUGUUCCAUAUUUCU
Molecule: small nuclear RNA, 101 nt
Organism: Rattus norvegicus (Norway rat)
Lineage: Eukaryota; Metazoa; Chordata; Mammalia; Rodentia; Muridae
Source: Ensembl